Molecule: ribosomal RNA, 468 nt
Filed under: uncultured bacterium
Lineage: Bacteria
Description: partial 16S ribosomal RNA
Rfam family: Bacterial small subunit ribosomal RNA
Source: RNAcentral
GACGAACGCUGGCGGCGUGCUUAACACAUGCAAGUCGAACGGAAAGGCCCUGCUUUUGUGGGGUGCUCGAGUGGCGAACGGGUGAGUAACACGUGAGUAACCUGCCCUUGACUUUGGGAUAACUUCAGGAAACUGGGGCUAAUACCGGAUAGGAGCUCCUGCUGCAUGGUGGGGGUUGGAAAGUCGCGGCGGGUGGGGAUGGACGCGCGGCUUAUCAGCUUGUUGGUGGGGUAGUGGCUUACCAAGGCUUUGACGGGUAGCCGGCCUGAGAGGGUGACCGGCCACAUUGGGACUGAGGUACGGCCCAGACUCCUACGGGAGGCAGAAGUGGGGAAUAUUGCACAAUGGGCGGAAGCCUGAUGCAGCAACGCCGCGUGCGGGAUGACGGCCUUCGGGUUGUAAACCGCUUUCGCCUGUGACGAAGCGUGAGUGACGGUAAUGGGUAAAGAAGCACCGGCUAACUACGUG